GACGAACGCUGGCGGCGUGCUUAACACAUGCAAGUCGAGCGAUGAAGCACCUUCGGGUGUGAAUUAGCGGCGAACGGGUGAGGAACACGUGAGAAAUCUGCCUUCAACUCUGGGAUAACUCCGGGAAACCGGGGCUAAUACCGGAUAUGAGCCUUGAUCGCAUGAUCGGGGCUGGAAAGUUUUUCGGUUGAAGAUGAUCUCGCGGCCUAUCAGCUUGUUGGUGAGGUAAUGGCUCACCAAGGCGACGACGGGUAGCCGGCCUGAGAGGGCGACCGGCCACACUGGGACUGAGACACGGCCCAGACUCCUACGGGAGGCAGCAGUGGGGAAUAUUGGGCAAUGGAGGAACUCUGACCCAGCGACGCCGCGUGAGGGAUGAAGGCC
Molecule: ribosomal RNA, 384 nt
Filed under: uncultured bacterium
Lineage: Bacteria
Description: bacterial SSU rRNA
Rfam family: Bacterial small subunit ribosomal RNA
Source: RNAcentral